The sequence is a transfer RNA, 80 nucleotides long. It matches the Rfam family "tRNA". From Rfam's summary of the family: Transfer RNA (tRNA) molecules are approximately 80 nucleotides in length. Their secondary structure includes four short double-helical elements and three loops (D, anti-codon, and T loops). Further hydrogen bonds mediate the characteristic L-shaped molecular structure. tRNAs have two regions of fundamental functional importance: the anti-codon, which is responsible for specific mRNA codon recognition, and the 3' end, to which the tRNAs corresponding amino acid is attached (by aminoacyl-tRNA synthetases). tRNAs cope with the degeneracy of the genetic code in two manners: having more than one tRNA (with a specific anti-codon) for a particular amino acid; and 'wobble' base-pairing, i.e. permitting non-standard base-pairing at the 3rd anti-codon position. The record is from Rfam.
GGGCGUGUGGCUCAGUUGGUAGAGCGUUCGCUUAGCAUCUCGACUGCGAAAGGUCCUGGGUUCGAUUCCCAGCUCGUCCA